Molecule: unclassified non-coding RNA, 337 nt
Filed under: soil metagenome
Description: partial contains 5.8S ribosomal RNA, internal transcribed spacer 2, and large subunit ribosomal RNA
Rfam family: 5.8S ribosomal RNA (bases 1-120)
Source: RNAcentral
GAUGAAGAACGUAGCGAAAUGCGAUAAGUAAUGUGAAUUGCAGAAUUCAGUGAAUCAUCGAAUCUUUGAACGCACAUUGCGCCCGCCAGUAUUCUGGCGGGCAUGCCUGUUCGAGCGUAAUUUUCACCAUCAAGCUCUGCUUGUGUUGGGGUCCUGCGGCUGCCCGCAGGCCCUGAAACCCAGUGGCGGGCUCGCUAGUCACACCGAGCGCAGUAGCACAUCUCGCUCAGGGCGUGCGGCGGGUUCUUGCCGUAAAACAACCCCCCCUUUUCACCAAGGUUGACCUCGGAUCAGGUAGGAAUACCCGCUGAACUUAAGCAUAUCAAUAAGCGGAGGA